This 201-nucleotide long non-coding RNA is filed under the name Nicotiana benthamiana. RNAcentral describes it as "long non-coding RNA (NBEN_LNC005014)". The record is from RNAcentral. Lineage: Eukaryota; Viridiplantae; Streptophyta; Magnoliopsida; Solanales; Solanaceae.
GUGACAUGAUUCCUGACAUACCAAACAAAACGAAUACACGUAUGCGUGAUUCGCUUCGAGAUAAUUCUAUAAUUAGAAAUAAUCAAGCAAUUCAAAGUGGUUUGAGGCAAAAGUACAUAUAUUUCUCAAGAACAUAAAAUAUCCAGAAUUAGUUAAGCCCGGUAUAAUUAUUAAAACAACCGUACUAGAACAUCGGAACUC